This 317-nucleotide ribosomal RNA is filed under the name uncultured eukaryote. RNAcentral describes it as "partial large subunit ribosomal RNA". It matches the Rfam family "Eukaryotic large subunit ribosomal RNA", at positions 40 to 350 of the family's 3401-position model. The record is from RNAcentral.
AUAUCAGUAAGCGGAGGAAAAGAAACUAACAAGGAUUCCCCUAGUAACGGCGAGUGAAGCGGGAACAGCUCAAAUUUGAAAUCUGCACGAGCAAUCGUUCAGAAUUGUAGUUUAUAGGCGCGUGUGGCAAGGGCGGCGCAGUUCAAGUUCUCUGGAACGAGACAUCACAGAGGGUGAUAAUCCCGUUGUGGCUGUGCAUCGCGGUCUUGAUUAUGACACGUGGCCGACGAGUCGGGUUGUUUGGGAAUGCAGCUCAAAAUGGGUGGUAAAUUACAUCUAAAGCUAAAUAUUGGCGAGAGACCGAUAGCGCACAAGUA